RNAcentral lists this ribosomal RNA (253 nucleotides) under uncultured bacterium. Its description in RNAcentral is "partial 16S ribosomal RNA". It matches the Rfam family "Archaeal small subunit ribosomal RNA", at positions 474 to 727 of the family's 1478-position model. The record is from RNAcentral.
UACCAGCACCCCGAGUGGUCGGGACGAUUAUUGGGCCUAAAGCAUCCGUAGCCGGUUUUACAAGUCCUCCGUUAAAUCCAGCUGCUUAACAGAUGGGCUGCGGAGGAUACUAUAAGACUAGGAGGCAGGAGAGGCAAGCGGUACUCAGUGGGUAGGGGUAAAAUCCGUUGAUCCAUUGAAGACCACCAGUGGCGAAGGCAGCUUACUAGGCUGUAACUGACGCUGAGGCACGAAAGUGUGGGGAUCGAACAGG